UGGGGAAUAUUGGACAAUGGGGGCAACCCUGAUCCAGCAAUGCCGCGUGUGUGAAGAAGGUCUUCGGAUUGUAAAGCACUUUCGACGGGGACGAUGAUGACGGUACCCGUAGAAGAAGCCCCGGCUAACUUCGUGCCAGCAGCCGCGGUAAUACGAAGGGGGCUAGCGUUGCUCGGAAUGACUGGGCGUAAAGGGCGUGUAGGCGGUUUACACAGUCAGAUGUGAAAUCCCCGGGCUUAACCUGGGAGCUGCAUUUGAUACGUGUAGACUAGAGUGUGAGAGAGGGUUGUGGAAUUCCCAGUGUAGAGGUGAAAUUCGUAGAUAUUGGGAAGAACACCGGUGGCGAAGGCGGCAACCUGGCUCAUGACUGACGCUGAGGCGCGAAAGCGUGGGGAGCAAACAGGAUUAGAUACCCUGGUAGUCCACGCUGUAAACGAUGUGUGCUAGAUGUUGGGUAA
RNAcentral lists this ribosomal RNA (458 nucleotides) under uncultured bacterium. RNAcentral's name for it is "partial 16S ribosomal RNA". It matches the Rfam family "Bacterial small subunit ribosomal RNA", at positions 355 to 830 of the family's 1533-position model. The record is from RNAcentral.